Pecten maximus is the source of this 356-nucleotide long non-coding RNA. RefSeq lists it as uncharacterized. The record is from RefSeq and is a predicted model, not a curated record. NCBI's taxonomy places the organism in Eukaryota, Metazoa, Mollusca, Bivalvia, Pectinida, Pectinidae. The transcript has 4 exons.
AAAAGUAACCCUCACAUAAUGGUAACCCUCACAUAAUGGUAACCCUCACAUAAUGGUAACCCUCACAUAACGGUAACCCUCACAUAAUGGUAACCCUCACAUAACGGUAACCCUCACAUAAUGGUAACCGUCACAUAAUGGUAACCCUCACAUAAUGGUAACCCUCACAUAACGGUAACCCUCACAUAAUGGUAUUGGUAGAAAAAGGUAACCCUCACAUAAUGGUAACCCUCACAUAAUGGUAACCCUCACAUAACGGUAACCCUCACAUAAAGGUAACCCUCACAUAACGGUAACCCUCACAUAAUGGUAACCCUCACAUAAUGGUAACCCUCACAUAACGGUAACCCUCACAU